RNAcentral lists this microRNA precursor (97 nucleotides) under Tursiops truncatus (common bottlenose dolphin). RNAcentral describes it as "miRNA (ENSTTRG00000024315.1)". Lineage: Eukaryota; Metazoa; Chordata; Mammalia; Artiodactyla; Delphinidae. The record is from RNAcentral.
UCACCUGGGGAUUUUGCUAAAAUGCAGAUUUCUAUUCAUUACAUUGGAAUGGGGCCUGAGAUUCUGCAUUUCUAACAAUAUCUCAGGUAAUGAACAC